GACGAACGCUGGCGGCGUGCCUAAUACAUGCAAGUCGAGCGAAUGGAAGGGAGCUUGCUCCCUGAAGUUAGCGGCGGACGGGUGAGUAACACGUGGGCAACCUGCCUGUAAGACUGGGAUAACUUCGGGAAACCGGAGCUAAUACCGGAUACGUUCUUUCCUCGCAUGAGGAAAGAUGGAAAGAUGGUUUCGGCUAUCACUUACAGAUGGGCCCGCGGCGCAUUAGCUAGUUGGUGGGGUAACGGCCCACCAAGGCGACGAUGCGUAGCCGACCUGAGAGGGUGAUCGGCCACACUGGGACUGAGACACGGCCCAGACUCCUACGGGAGGCAGCAGUAGGGAAUCUUCCGCAAUGGACGAAAGUCUGACGGAGCAACGCCGCGUGAGCGAAGAAGGCCUUCGGGUCGUAAAGCUCUGUUGUCAGGGAAGAACAAGUGCCAGAGUAACUGCUGGCACCUUGACGGUACCUGACCAGAAAGCCACGGCUAACUACGUGCCAGCCGCCGCGGUAA
This 512-nucleotide ribosomal RNA is filed under the name uncultured bacterium. RNAcentral's name for it is "partial 16S ribosomal RNA". It matches the Rfam family "Bacterial small subunit ribosomal RNA", at positions 28 to 523 of the family's 1533-position model. The record is from RNAcentral.